Molecule: small RNA, 592 nt
Filed under: Pan troglodytes (chimpanzee)
Lineage: Eukaryota; Metazoa; Chordata; Mammalia; Primates; Hominidae
Description: processed transcript
Source: RNAcentral
CUCUGGGCCGCCCUUCUCAGCUCACCGGCCUCCUGGCAGUGGGAAAGAAGCAGAGACAUGGCUGGGCCCCUGGCAGGGACCCCACGGGCCAGGCCAGCGUUCUCCUUCACACAGGCCUUGCCUGUGUUUAGACCUGAUUUCUAUCUCCUGCUGAAAAUAGUUCUGUUUAAGAAUGUAUGGAAGGCCGGGCGCGGUGGUUCACACCUGUAAUCCCAUCACUUUGGGAGGCCGAGGUGAGUGGAUCCCUGAGGUCAGGAGUUUGAGACCAUCCUGGCCAACAUGGUGAAACCCCGUCUCUACCAAAAAAUGCAAUAAUUAGCCGGAUGUGGUGCCACUGGCCUGUAAUCCCAGCUACUCGGGAGGCUGAAGCAGGAGAAUCGUUUGAACCCAGGAGGCGGAGGCUGCCGUGAGCUGAGAUCAUGCCACUGCCCUCCAGCCUGGGUGACAGAGUGAGACCCUGUCUCAAAACAAACAUGCAAUUCUAUAGGCCAAGGUAUUCACAGACCACGCUCAUCAAUGCAUGUUUUCAACCAAUGUGUACUGUACGUGAGGUGAGAGUUCACCUAACUGCAAACUGGAAUGUUUGUGGGAA